This is a long non-coding RNA of Lytechinus pictus (painted urchin), 1834 nucleotides long. RefSeq lists it as uncharacterized. NCBI's taxonomy places the organism in Eukaryota, Metazoa, Echinodermata, Echinoidea, Temnopleuroida, Toxopneustidae. The transcript is spliced from 3 exons. The record is from RefSeq and is a predicted model, not a curated record.
AGGUAUUUGCCCAGUAUCUUCAGUUCUGUGGGAUCGGUAUUAACAACGCCAGACUCUAUGAGAGAGCAACGUUAGAAAUAAGGAGAAAUCAGGUUCUACUGGAGCUAGCUAAGACCUUGUUCGAGGAACAGAGCACCCUAUCUAGCAUCGUCAGACGCAUCAUGGAGCUCCUGCUAUCGCUAUUACGGUGUGAGCGCUGUUCUAUUCUAAUGGUGGAUGAAUCGUCAAAGUAUGAAGAAGAAGAAUUAUCUGAACAGAGAGACACACACAUGCGUACACACCCUCUCACACAGGUAAAUUGCCCAUUCGUCCACUGCCAACUCGUCCACUCACCAUAUGGUCUACUUUCUUUUAGUCUAAUGCCAUUCCUUCCAUCAGCAUUUCGUCUAAUGCCAUUCCGUCCAUCAACAUUUCGUCUAACAACCAUUUGGUCCAAUCAUCACUUCGUCUAAUCACCAUCUAGUCUAUUACCAUUACUUCUUAUAACCAGUUGGUCUAAUACUCAUUUUCUUUUCCUUCAUUUUGCACAAUUAACACUUUAGUUUCAUUAGACCAAAUGGUAUAUGGACUAAAUGGCUAUUGGACCAACUGGUUAUUAGACGGAAUGGCAUGAGACUAAAUGAAAGUAGACCAUGUGGUGAGGAGACGAACUGAUGAUUGACCAAAUGGUAGUAGACGAGUUGGCAAUUGGACGAAUUAGACGAAUUGGAAAUAAACCCUCACACAAACACUAAAGAGAGGUGUUACUGGAUCCUCAACAGUUGAGUGAAAUGACAUCAUUUUACUUCAGGCUGCCUUAGCUGAUCUCCUGACUAUUCAAGUUGUCACUAUUACUCCCCUACUUUAUCACAAUUACCAAAUGAUUUUCCCCUAAAGCCUCCUGUCAUCAUUCUGUUUUUUUAUCCUUUCCAAGGCCUUUAAAGGGGCCUUAGAAAGGAUUUAACAAAAAAACAGACACAAAGUUUAAUGUAAAAUUGGUAGAAAAAAUAAUAAAGAUAUUAAAGGCUUGAAGAAAAGCGAAAGAUUCAAAAGGUUUUCAGAAUUUCGAUUUUUUUUUUUUGAAUUUGUGGCAUCAUAUGCGAGCAGCUUCCACAUAUAUUGUGCAAUUUAAAAAAAUCGAUGGAAUGAUAUUUUAUCAAAAAAUUGAUAAAUUAUUUCACUCCUGCUCCAGAAAGAAAAAAUAGUCAUUAUGAACAAUGAAAAAUAAUUGAAAUCUAGGCAUUUUAUAUGACUUAAAAAUAUAGGGUAGUUGCUCAUGAAUGACAUCAUAAAUCAAAGAAUUGAAAUUCUUAUAACUGAUGAAUUUUCUCAAAUCUUUACCAAUAGUUUAAAAUAAUUGUUCCUAACUUCCUAGUGUUUUUACAAUCUUUUUGCCAGGGUAUACUUCCCCUUUAAGAAGCACAUCUCCAUGUUACUCUUUUAAUAGACUAUCCAGUCAGAAGCAAGCUGUCAUGAAAAAUGUAUUUAGUGGUUUUCACUGACUGAUUUGCUGUCAGCCAAUCAGAUGCAAGGAUUUCAGUAGCUUAUAACAAUAGUGAAAAUCAUUGACUGAUUGUUUCAUGAAAUGCUCCCCUGGACGUUUUAGACAGCGUAUGUCAACGUACUGUACUUGUGGCCAGUCGUUUUCUUCCUUAAAGCAAAAGUUUAUAGAUGUUUGUUUGGCGUAGCCCGACUGAUCCUUGUUAAACCUGCCAAUAUACAUUUUUUUUUAUUCAAAUUUGAUCCCCCCCAAAAAAAAAUUAAAAUGUAAUAUUUUAAUAUUUAAUUUUCAUUGUUUUGCCUAUUUUUUUCUGGCAAAUGAGGCAAUAGAACAUCAUCCAUGGCAUGGGAAGAG